RNAcentral lists this ribosomal RNA (253 nucleotides) under uncultured bacterium. Its description in RNAcentral is "partial 16S ribosomal RNA". It matches the Rfam family "Bacterial small subunit ribosomal RNA", at positions 524 to 776 of the family's 1533-position model. The record is from RNAcentral.
UACGAAGGGUGCAAGCGUUGUUCGGAAUCAUUGGGCGUAAAGCGCGUGUAGGCGGUUGUCCAAGUUGGAUGUGAAAGCCUUGAGCUCAACUCAAGAAAUGCAUUCAGGACUGGAUGACUAGAGGACCGGAGAGGAUAGUGGAAUUCCCAGUGUAGUGGUGAAAUACGUAGAGAUUGGGAAGAACACCAGUGGCGAAGGCGGCUAUCUGGACGGUUUCUGACGCUAAGACGCGAAAGCGUGGGGAGCAAACAGG